Molecule: long non-coding RNA, 699 nt
Filed under: Equus caballus (horse)
Lineage: Eukaryota; Metazoa; Chordata; Mammalia; Perissodactyla; Equidae
Description: lncRNA (ENSECAG00000050753.1)
Source: RNAcentral
CUUCCUCUGUCUCUCUCGCCCUGGGUUCCGUGCCCCUGGAUCACCAGCUGCCAUGUCCUGAGGACACUUGGGCAGCCUGUGGGGAGAUCUACAUGACAAAGAAACAAGACCUGCCAGCAACCACGAUGAUGACGGAGACAGGGCUAACUUACUCACGCUGUCUUUCUCCAGAUGGGCUUUCUUCUUCCCACGGGAAAUCGUUCUUGGAGUCACUGCUGUUGCCUAAAAUAUAUGCAAAUGCUACCUUCACUGCUCCUGGCACAGGCAGAAACCUGUUGCCUUUCUGGAGAGUUUCUGCUCCUUGUUGAAGCCUCAGAUUAAUCAUUACCCUCCCAAUGAAGGAUUCCUUGGCUGCUGUAGACUAUUGUUAUAGAAAACAUGUUUUAUCAAAUAUGAUGGUCUCCAAGUGUAUCUCCUCAUCUAGACUCUGAGCACUUUGGUGUACAGGUGUUUCGUGUGUGUUUGAUCUCAUUUGUGUUCUCAGUUCCUCUCCAUCAUUGGUACCCAAACAGUAUUUGCAAAGCCAGAAGGUGAUCGAAGGGAUGGCUACCAUUAGAGUGAUUUUACCUUAGAGAUGGAGGCAUACCAAGAAAAAUGAUCAACACAGGAAAACCAAAAUUUUCUACCCAGAAGAAAACCUGAGUAAAUUCCUCCAUCUGAAUUUCUAAUCACUAUUUGAAAAUGGCUAAAUCACCAUAU